RNAcentral lists this unclassified non-coding RNA (389 nucleotides) under Hevea brasiliensis (rubber tree). The record is from RNAcentral. Lineage: Eukaryota; Viridiplantae; Streptophyta; Magnoliopsida; Malpighiales; Euphorbiaceae.
GAACUAAUUGCCUGAUUCUUGUGAACAUGUUUAUCUCUCUCCCUCAAAGAAUUGUUCUUUUGUCUUCCUGAGUUGUCUCUCUUUGAAAGGUGGUUGUUUGCAAUAGAUGUGUAACUUUUUUAUGCAUAGUAUGCUUCUGAUGUCUUGAUUAGAUCAAUCAAAAGUUGGAAUGAAUUGCUAGCAAGAAUUUAUCCAGUGUCAUUCCAGCACUAAUUGUGUUGAUGUAGUGGUGAUAGUUACUAUUUUUGGGAAAAGGGAGAAGGAUAUUUUGUUGGCAAAAUGAGUAGACAAGUCUUGGUGAAGGAGAAAUCCCUUAUAAAUAAAUCUCUUUGAUGGGAGAAAAUCGAACAUAUUAGAGGACAUUUACUUUGCCAUUGAUCGUGUGUAAU